Non-coding RNA from Rhopilema esculentum, 2854 nucleotides. NCBI's taxonomy places the organism in Eukaryota, Metazoa, Cnidaria, Scyphozoa, Rhizostomeae, Rhizostomatidae. The record is from RefSeq and is a predicted model, not a curated record.
UUUGCUGUUUUUUUUCUCAAGGGGUAAUCUUACGCAAAUCAUAAUAUUGCGGUCUGUUGGGAAGAUUGUUUAUGCUUGAUCAAGUUGAUUUAAUAAAUUCCAAAAAUUUAUUUUGCUCCGCUUUAAUAUUGUUUUUACGUUUUGAGGGGCUCUAUAAAUCGCUCUCCAAGGCUUUUUUUGGGUGCGCUCUAGGCACGCGCGCUCGAUCGAGCACCUUUCCGGGCAAGGCCUGUAUUAAUGCAAAAACAGAAAACGAAAGUCAAACUGGUUGCAGCUUUCAUUGCUUUUUAAACAACACUGAAAAAAAUGAUCAAGUAGUCUCAAUUCUGGAUCUAUUGACAACACAAAAACAGAGGAAAAAAUUUUAGCAUUCAAAGCCUUUCUGUUGCACAUUAUGUUUUAACCUUUUUAAUCAUUAUAAUAAUUUAUGUUCCUGAUCUUUGUGCUAUUCUAUUAAUAUUUACGUUCUUUUCUCUUCAAAAAUGAUAAAUUCAUUAGGUAUUGAUCAUGCUUUUACAUCUCAAAACAAUCCUUUAUAUUAUUACUGUAAUGACAAAUCUCAUUAUAAGCUUUACAAACAUGGGGUUUAAGUGUUUAAAGGCAACCUUCGCUACCAUGUUAUUGUGAUGAAAGAAAAUGUGAUUCUAGAAUAAUGUGAAGACAGUCAAUAGAAGACUGGAUGUAGUCAAAAUAGAAGAGAAGAUCAAGAAAACUAGACUCCAAGAUUUGGCCAAAUUCUAAGAUGCUAACAGUUAAACAAGCAAGCCUUAAAGGAAAGAUUCAAAGGCAAUAGAAGAAUGCCUAAACAAAGUGUGACAUUGUGAGAAAAAGAAUGCAAAAUUUUUUAGGGGAUCAGGGAUUUACAAUGCAGACAAAAAUGGUGCCAAUGAGUUUGAACAGCUGACCCAUUCACAACAAGGGACAGCUGAAUUAGUUCAGGGCUUGUUUCUGUUAGAAGAUGUAUGGUAACCUAUGCAUAUUAAUUGAUUAAACUUGUAAUCAGGUUUAGGCCAUGAAAAUAAUAUCAAACUUACAGCUCCAGUUCCAUCUUUCUGUGAAGCUAUUCUCCCACUAAGAAGACUGUAAAGAGAAGAUACUUUCAGAAAUUGAAGAUGUCAAAGCACAAAAUCUCAGAAAACUUUCUAAAUAUUAUAUGAUUACAAAAGCAGAUUUGUUGAAUUUUGGGAGCAGCAAUAUAUAGUUUGACAAAGUAGGGUCACUAUCUUAUACUUUAAGUUGGAAAAUGAUCUUGAUAAAAAGAAAUGAUAUGCCUAUUACAACAGGUUUAAAGUAUUUUGUGAUCACUUUUCCUGUUUCCAGGAUGCAAUACAACAAAGAACGCUAAUUAAUUAUUGUUCACAUUGGCAAAUGGGUUGCAGCAAUCUGCAAAUCAGUAUCUCAAGAUUUUCUGGAACUUAAUUAAGGUCCAAUCAAGCUUUGAUUGUUUUAGAAAGACUGCCUUAUAAACUAAAGAAAAAAUAAUGAAAGUUUGCAAAAAUUUUCUACUUAUACAUACCAGGUGAAAAAUGAGUCUGGUAUCCAUGUCAAAGUUUGUCUUGAUGUUGAAAAUCUGAAUAAAAAAGUGAAAACCUCCAUUUCAACUUAUAAACAUAACUGACAUGCAAAUUAACUAAAAGGAGAUCUGUAAAUAAACACUACUUAAGUCCAUAGAAAAUACUUUUAAGCAACGAAAAUUAAGCAAAAUGAACCAGUCAAACAUUUAUACUUAUGACUUUCUCUGCUUUCAAAAAUUUCAAGAUAUAUCAUAGUGUAAUCCCUUAUAUUUCUGCUAUUUGGUGCCAAAAUUUUACCAUAUAUGAGGCACUCCUUGUCAAUUGUUCAGUUGGUUGCCAAUGCUAGAGGUGCAUAUGAUCCAUGGUCAAUUUAUAUGAUCCUUUGAUAUAUGCCCAUUUACUAAGCUUAAGCAAAUUUAUGGACCAUCGUUAACUCAUGUAGUGUCACUUUAUCGGCUAUAUCAAAGGAUUGUAUCUCUUUAGAUUGUAUCUGCAUUGCUUCAUGGAUGACACCUAAUUUGUUACCUUUGUAGGAACUGCAGACUCACAUACAUACUUCAUAAUGGUUUUUAACAUCACCAAUCUUUGUCUUUUAUAGCUAGACACAGCAAUGUCUCUUCGAUUUUGUUUACUUCUUGGUUUUCACAAUAUAAUAAGUUGGAAAAAGGUUUUCUUUAUUCCAAAUACAACAGGAUUAUGACAAUUCAGCUUGUACUCCUGCUUGUUGAAAUGAUUAUUUGUUUUUGCUUUAAAUUUUAUCAAAAGACAAAUCUCAGAUUUUUGGAAUAGUUCAUUAAAUUCCAUUUUUGAUUUGACCAAUCUAAAUUACGAAAUGUAGAAUUUUUUUGUUUUCAGAUGAUUUAUGAUAGCCUAAACAACCUUAAACUUUGUCAUUGACAAUUUUUAGCAAUACGUCCUAACACGAAAAAUCAACUUUUUCAAUUUUUGUCAGAAAUGCAGAAUUUUUAAUAGUAUGAUAAUUUUUCUGCAUUUGGGACAGUAAUAAAAAUUAUUUGUUUCUAUAAUCCAUUCAGAUGAUUGAGGAACUUUAUAUCUUAUGAGCGUUAUCCUAUAAUUUAAACAAUAUUUCAACUUGCCUUUUCCCUCCAACAUUCAAAUCAAUGAUCUCAUUUCCAGUAUUCUCAUGAUCCAUAAUAAAUUCUGUGGAAAUCCAGCAAAAAUUUCCUGUCAGUACAUCAAUGACUCAGUCGGAAGAAUGAAAAUCUAAAAUUUAACCAAAGUACUAAAUUCAGAUACUACUUUUUAGGUUAUAAGGCUAUGAAGACAUUCAGAGAUUUCGAGAAAUUGAAAAGUUGUUUUUUCAUUCCCACCUACCUUCC